GUCCUUGUAGCUUACAACCAAAGCAUGGCACUGAAGAUGCUAAGACGCUG
Molecule: transfer RNA, 50 nt
Filed under: Nipponia nippon (crested ibis)
Lineage: Eukaryota; Metazoa; Chordata; Aves; Pelecaniformes; Threskiornithidae
Description: partial tRNA-Phe
Source: RNAcentral